UGCAAAGGAGUGCUGAGUGUGUCCCGGCA
Molecule: non-coding RNA, 29 nt
Filed under: Mus musculus (house mouse)
Lineage: Eukaryota; Metazoa; Chordata; Mammalia; Rodentia; Muridae
Source: RNAcentral